CGUACACUCCUGCGGGAGGCAGCAGUGGGGAAUAUUGGACAAUGGGCGCAAGCCUGAUCCAGCCAUGCCGCGUGAGUGAUGAAGGCCCUAGGGUUGUAAAGCUCUUUCACCGGUGAAGAUAAUGACGGUAACCGGAGAAGAAGCCCCGGCUAACUUCGUGCCAGCAGCCGCGGUAAUACGAAGGGGGCUAGCGUUGUUCGGAUUUACUGGGCGUAAAGCGCACGUAGGCGGACUAUUAAGUCAGGGGUGAAAUCCCGGGGCUCAACCCCGGAACUGCCUUUGAUACUGGUAGUCUUGAGUUCGAGAGAGGUGAGUGGAAUUCCGAGUGUAGAGGUGAAAUUCGUAGAUAUUCGGAGGAACACCAGUGGCGAAGGCGGCUCACUGGCUCGAUACUGACGCUGAGGUGCGAAAGCGUGGGGAGCAAACAGGAUUAGAAACCCGAGUAGUCCCA
Molecule: ribosomal RNA, 451 nt
Filed under: uncultured organism
Description: partial 16S ribosomal RNA
Rfam family: Bacterial small subunit ribosomal RNA
Source: RNAcentral